AUACGUAGGUGGCAAGCGUUGUCCGGAAUUAUUGGGCGUAAAGCGCGCGCAGGAGGUUCCUUAAGUCUGAUGUGAAAGCCCCCGGCUCAACCGGGGAGGGUCAUUGGAAACUGGGGAACUUGAGUGCAGAAGAGGAUAGUGGAAUUCCAAGUGUAGCGGUGAAAUGCGUAGAGAUUUGGAGGAACACCAGUGGCGAAGGCGACUGUCUGGUCUGUAACUGACACUGAGGCGCGAAAGCGUGGGGAGCAAACAGGAUUAGAUACCCUGGUAGUCCACGCCGUAAACGAUGAGUGCUAAGUGUUGGGGGGUUUCCGCCCCUCAGUGCUGCAGCUAACGCAUUAAGCACUCCGCCUGGGGAGUACGGUCGCAAGACUGAAACUCAAAGGAAUUGACGGGG
This 397-nucleotide ribosomal RNA is filed under the name uncultured bacterium. RNAcentral's name for it is "partial 16S ribosomal RNA". It matches the Rfam family "Bacterial small subunit ribosomal RNA", at positions 523 to 918 of the family's 1533-position model. The record is from RNAcentral.